ACGAACGCUGGCGGCAUGCCUAACACAUGCAAGUCGAACGAUGCUUUCGGGCAUAGUGGCGCACGGGUGCGUAACGCGUGGGAAUCUGCCCUUGGGUUCGGAAUAACAGUUAGAAAUGACUGCUAAUACCGGAUGAUGUCGAUAAGACCAAAGAUUUAUCGCCUGAGGAUGAGCCCGCGUAGGAUUAGCUAGUUGGUGUGGUAAAGGCGCACCAAGGCGACGAUCCUUAGCUGGUCUGAGAGGAUGAUCAGCCACACUGGGACUGAGACACGGCCCAGACUCCUACGGGAGGCAGCAGUGGGGAAUAUUGGACAAUGGGCGCAAGCCUGAUCCAGCAAUGCCGCGUGAGUGAUGAAGGCCUUAGGGUUGUAAAGCUCUUUUACCCGUGAUGAUAAUGACAGUAGCGGGAGAAUAAGCCCCGGCUAACUCCGU
This 432-nucleotide ribosomal RNA is filed under the name uncultured bacterium. RNAcentral describes it as "bacterial SSU rRNA". It matches the Rfam family "Bacterial small subunit ribosomal RNA", at positions 29 to 506 of the family's 1533-position model. The record is from RNAcentral.